RNAcentral lists this ribosomal RNA (264 nucleotides) under uncultured bacterium. Its description in RNAcentral is "partial 16S ribosomal RNA". It matches the Rfam family "Bacterial small subunit ribosomal RNA", at positions 74 to 334 of the family's 1533-position model. The record is from RNAcentral.
UUUUGCUUGCAAACUAAAGAUGGCGACCGGCGCACGGGUGAGUAACACGUAUCCAACCUGCCGAUAACUCGGGGAUAGCCUUUCGAAAGAAAGAUUAAUAUCCGAUGGUAUAUUAAAACCGCAUGGUUUUACUAUUAAAGAAUUUCGGUUAUCGAUGGGGAUGCGUUCCAUUAGUUUGUUGGCGGGGUAACGGCCCACCAAACCGACGAUGGAUAGGGGUUCUGAGAGGAAGGUCCCCCACAUUGGUACUGAGACACGGACCAA